GACAGAGAGAUGGUGUUAUACAGCUGGAGCGGUAUGCAGCUGUCAGUCUCUAACAGGUGUUAUGAUGGGGUACAGCUGUCUGUCAGUCUCUAACAGGUGUUAUGAUGGGGUACAGCUGUCAGUCUCUAACAGGUGUUAUGAUGGGGUACAGCUGUCAGUCUCUAACAGGUGUUAUGAUGGGGUACAGCUGUCUGUCAGUCUCUAACAGGUGUUAUGAUGGGGUACAGCUGUCUGUCAGUCUCUAACAGGUGUUAUGAUGGGGUACAGCUGUCUGUCAGACUCUAACAGGUGUUAUGAUGGGGUACAGCUGUCUGUCAGACUCUAACAGGUGUUAUGAUGGGGUACAGCUGUCUGUCAGACUCUAACAGGUGUUAUGAUGGGGGUACAGCUGUCAGUCUCUAACAGGUGUUAUGAUGGGGUACAGCUGUCUGUCAGACUCUAACAGGUGUUAUGAUGGGGUACAGCUGUCUGUCAGACUCUAACAGGUGUUAUGAUGGGGUACAGCUGUCUGUCAGUCUCUAACAGGUGUUAUGAUGGGGUACAGCUGUCAGUCAGUCUCUAACAGGUGUUAUGAUGGGGUACAGCUGUCUGUCAGACUCUAACAGGUGUUAUGAUGGGGGUACAGCUGUCAGUCUCUAACAGGUGUUAUGAUGGGGUACAGCUGUCUGUCAGACUCUAACAGGUGUUAUGAUGGGGUACAGCUGUCUGUCAGACUCUAACAGGUGUUAUGAUGGGGUACAGCUGUCUGUCAGUCUCUAACAGGUGUUAUGAUGGGGUACAGCUGUCUGUCAGACUCUAACAGGUGUUAUGAUGGGGUACAGCUGUCUGUCAGACUCUAACAGGUGUUAUGAUGGGGUACAGCUGUCUGUCAGUCUCUAACAGGUGUUAUGAUGGGGUACAGCUGUCAGUCUCUAACAGGUGUUAUGAUGGUGUACAGCUGUCAGACUCUAACAGGUGUUAUGAUGGGGUACAGCUGUCUGUCAGUCUCUAACAGGUGUUAUGAUGGGGUACAGCUGUCAGUCUCUAACAGGUGUUAUGAUGGGGUACAGCUGUCUGUCAGACUCUAA
This is a non-coding RNA of Oncorhynchus mykiss (rainbow trout), 1067 nucleotides long. The record is from RefSeq and is a predicted model, not a curated record. NCBI's taxonomy places the organism in Eukaryota, Metazoa, Chordata, Actinopteri, Salmoniformes, Salmonidae.